CAGCAGCCGCGGUAAUACGAAGGGUGCAAGCGUUAAUCGGAAUUACUGGGCGUAAAGCGCACGCAGGCGGUCUGUCAAGUCAGAUGUGAAAUCCCCGGGCUUAACCUGGGAACUGCAUUUGAAACUGGCAGGCUAGAGUCUUGUAGAGGGGGGUAGAAUUCCAGGUGUAGCGGUGAAAUGCGUAGAGAUCUGGAGGAAUACCGGCGGCGAAGGCGGCCCCCUGGACAAAGACUGACGCUCAGGUGCGAAAGCGUGGGGAGCAAACAGGAUUAGAUACCCGCGUAGUCCCUGUCUCUUAUAA
RNAcentral lists this ribosomal RNA (301 nucleotides) under uncultured bacterium. RNAcentral describes it as "partial 16S ribosomal RNA". It matches the Rfam family "Bacterial small subunit ribosomal RNA", at positions 509 to 809 of the family's 1533-position model. The record is from RNAcentral.